RNAcentral lists this ribosomal RNA (499 nucleotides) under uncultured bacterium. RNAcentral's name for it is "partial 16S ribosomal RNA". It matches the Rfam family "Bacterial small subunit ribosomal RNA", at positions 28 to 507 of the family's 1533-position model. The record is from RNAcentral.
GACGAACGCUGGCGGCGUGCCUAAUACAUGCAAGUCGAGCGAAGUUUUUCUGGUGCUUGCACCGGAAAAACUUAGCGGCGAACGGGUGAGUAACACGUAAAGAACCUGCCUCAUAGACUGGGACAACUAUUGGAAACGAUAGCUAAUACCGGAUAACAGCAUUAACUGCAUGGUUGAUGUUUAAAAGUUGGUUUUGCUAACACUAUGAGAUGGCUUUGCGGUGCAUUAGCUAGUUGGUGGGGUAAAGGCCUACCAAGGCGACGAUGCAUAGCCGACCUGAGAGGGUGAUGGGCCAGACUGGGCCUGAGACACGGCACAGACGACUACGGGAGGCAGCAGUAGGGAAUCGUCCGAAAUGGGCGAAAGCCUGACGGAGCAACGCAGCGUGAGUGAAGAAGGAUUUCGGUUCGUAAAGCUCUGUUGUUAGGGAAGAAUGAUUGUGUAGUAACUAUACACAGUAGAGACGGGACGUAACCAGAAAGGCACGGCUAACUACGUG